CCGGCAGGUAUGCAAGACGCUCGCUUGCCUAUGGAAGCCCUCGCAGCGACUCUAAAGAAGUGCCCCAGCCUGCGCCCUGAGUGGGAACUGGCGACGCCAUCAAUCUGCGCUGGGAGGACCCCCUCGGGGUUCAACCAGAAGCUCUUGAAUGAGUUCACAGAUCAAACGAUGGCGGCCACUCGCGAGUGGUUUAGAUAUGACCGGCCCCGGCCCUUAUCGGCCGGCGAAUCUGCGGAACCUGCGGAAGGAUCAUUACUGAGAGGGGUUUUCGGACCCCGGGGGCCCCGGCCCCCAUCUCUUCACCCUAUGUUUACGUACCUUCGUUGCUUUGGCGGGUCUUAGGGCUCGCCCCAUACCGGCUACGAGCCUAGUGCUCCGGUCGGCCCGUGCUCGCCAGAGGCCCAUCAAAUUCUGUUCACCAGUGACGUCCGAGCAAAAACACAAUAGUAAAAAACUUUCAACAACGGAUCUCUUGGUUCUGGCAUCGAUGAAGAACGCAGCGAAAUGCGAUAAGUAAUGUGAAUUGCAGAAUUCAGUGAAUCAUCGAAUCUUUGAACGCACAUUGCGCCCCUCGGUAUUCCGGGGGGCAUGCCUGUUCGAGCGUCAUUGCACCCCUCAAGCUCAGCUUGGUAUUGGGUCUUCGCCCCCACGGCGGGCCCGAAAGUCAGUGGCGGUCCGGCGUAACUUCGAGCGUAGUAAAUCUUCUCCCGCUUUGGAAGCUCGCGCUGCGGCCGGCCAUCAACGCCCAAAUCUUUCAAUGAUUGACCUCGGAUCAGGUAGGGAUACCCGCUGAACUUAAGCAUAUCAGAAAGGGGGAGAAAAACUCU
This 827-nucleotide ribosomal RNA is filed under the name uncultured Rhizoplaca. RNAcentral's name for it is "eukaryotic LSU rRNA". The stretch from base 453 to 606 matches the Rfam family "5.8S ribosomal RNA". The record is from RNAcentral. Lineage: Eukaryota; Fungi; Ascomycota; Lecanoromycetes; Lecanorales; Lecanoraceae.